This 87-nucleotide transfer RNA is filed under the name Patescibacteria group bacterium. Its description in RNAcentral is "tRNA-Ser". It matches the Rfam family "tRNA". From Rfam's summary of the family: Transfer RNA (tRNA) molecules are approximately 80 nucleotides in length. Their secondary structure includes four short double-helical elements and three loops (D, anti-codon, and T loops). Further hydrogen bonds mediate the characteristic L-shaped molecular structure. tRNAs have two regions of fundamental functional importance: the anti-codon, which is responsible for specific mRNA codon recognition, and the 3' end, to which the tRNAs corresponding amino acid is attached (by aminoacyl-tRNA synthetases). tRNAs cope with the degeneracy of the genetic code in two manners: having more than one tRNA (with a specific anti-codon) for a particular amino acid; and 'wobble' base-pairing, i.e. permitting non-standard base-pairing at the 3rd anti-codon position. The record is from RNAcentral.
GGAGAGGUACCAAAGUGGUUGACUGGGACAGUCUUGAAAACUGUUGAGCCCGCAAGGGUUCCGAGGGUUCGAAUCCCUCCCUCUCCG